CGGCGGUGAGGACACACCUACUGUGCGGAGUUGCCGUGAUGCCUCUUAUACGCUAUUCUGAGCCGAUA
Small nucleolar RNA from Mesocricetus auratus (golden hamster), 68 nucleotides. RefSeq annotates it as small nucleolar RNA U54. The record is from RefSeq and is a predicted model, not a curated record. NCBI's taxonomy places the organism in Eukaryota, Metazoa, Chordata, Mammalia, Rodentia, Cricetidae. The transcript has a single exon.